Molecule: long non-coding RNA, 1293 nt
Filed under: Lactuca sativa (garden lettuce)
Lineage: Eukaryota; Viridiplantae; Streptophyta; Magnoliopsida; Asterales; Asteraceae
Description: long non-coding RNA (LSAT_LNC001398)
Source: RNAcentral
CCCCGUCCAUUAACAGAAUAUCUUGGUCGUACACUAUUUCCACAUGUGUUUUGUUAAAACAUUUGCAUCUAACUUCAAACUCCCUUUUUUAUUCCCUACAAAAAGUUGUGAAAGUGAUGCCUUUUUUCCAAGAAAAAACCUUCUUCUUAAUUAUGUUACCUUCCAAUCCGUUUUUCGUAGCUUUCACUUGUUCUCUUACUUCAAUGAGAGUUGAUGUUGAAGAAGGAUACCUAAAUCAUACGACUUUUCGUUCAUAACUUUGACUGCACUAAACCCGGAAAUAAGUAAGAGGAUGUCAAAAUUGAAUUUAAAGCAAGAAAAAUGUUUUUAUUUGCUUCCCAGUUCCAGUUUUUAUAUUAGCCCUCACAAGUGUGAUUUACUCAAAUUUUAUGCAUCCAUGUGUUUAACACAAUGUCAUAUAGCUAAAUAAUAUGCCAAGAGUGUUCAAAACAUUCAUAAAGCUUUAUGGGGCAUUUUUAGCCAUUUUCCACUUCGACCCCUUUUUGACAUUUUUCUCAUUUAGGCAUCCUACUUGCCUAAAUGUGUUUUAUUUAGGUUCUAGAAUGAAAUUUCAUGAAUAUUUCAUACCAAACCUAUUUUGAUAAUAAACAAAUCCCUAGGUUGUCAAACCUCUUUGAAUCAUUCACUAUAUACUCAUUUUAACAAUCUAUUUUCAACAAAGCCUCUAAAAAGGACAAGUUGUCAAGUUCAUGAAGUUCAUAGCAACAUAUUUGUGUUUUUGCUUUAACUUUCAAGCUUCUAAUCAUGCAUAUAAUUUUCAUUAGUUGCUAUUUUACUCAAAGUCAAGGUUUGACCAAAACAAAAAAAGUCAAUUGUCACUAUUCAUCAUCUUCAACCUCAAGAAAAUGGAAUCGAUUCAUGCAUUUAAGUUCUUGAACUCAAACUAUGAUGCAUUUCUAUAAUCUAUCAUAAAUGUCAACAUGUAUGGCAUUAUUUCAAAUACUAUCUCAAGAAAGUACUUAGGGUUCCAUGGAUUAUACCUUAAUAUGAAGAAGUUGCUGAAAUAGAAAUCAUUAGGGUUGUUUUAUGCUUAAUCGACCAUUGUAGCCCCAUCACCCACCUCCAUUGAUUAUGUCGGCCACUGGUCUGGUCGACAUGGUCACCAUCUUCGAUGUUCCAUUCGAAAAGAACAGAAACAACACACCAUCGCUUCCUUCCCCUUUCUUCCAACUGUUUCCCUUUCUCGUCUUGUUUCUCUGAAUAGAUUCAUGUACAAGCACACACAAUCGAUGUGUGUGUGCAUCUUGUUUUUUGAUUGAGCACACAAAGAGA